Molecule: long non-coding RNA, 760 nt
Organism: Oncorhynchus nerka (sockeye salmon)
Lineage: Eukaryota; Metazoa; Chordata; Actinopteri; Salmoniformes; Salmonidae
Exons: 3
Source: RefSeq, a predicted model, not a curated record
AAAGGUCUUUGUGGAGCUGAUGGUCCUAAAACGUUGUCAGAAAGCAGACAGGACGAGAGCAAAGAAGCUCAGGGAUGAGUUCAAAGCCCCCUGAGUGUUAAAAUCACCUUUGGCAGCAAUUACAUCUGUGAGUAUUUCUGGGUUAUUGUCCUGCUGAAAGGUGAAUUUGUCUCCUGAUGUCUGUUGGAUAGCAGACUCAACCAGGUUUUCAUCUAGGAUUUCAUCUGUGCUUAAAGCUGCAUUCCAUUUACUUUUAUCCCUAUUCUUUUACAAUGAGAAUGAUACCCAUAGCAUGAUGCAGCCACCACCAGGCUUGACAAUAUGAAGAGGGAUAUACAGUUAUGUGUUGUAAUGGAUUUGCCACAAACAUAAUGCUUUGUACUUGUACUUUCUAUUUCAUUUAUUUGCCACAUUUUUUGCAGUUUUACAUUAGUGCCUUAUUGCGAACAGAAUGCAUGUUUUGGAAUAUUUUGUAUUCUGUACAGGCUUCCUUCUUUUCACUCUGUCAUUUAGGUUAGUAUUGUGGAGUAACUACAAUGUUGUUGAUCCAUCCUCAGUUUUCUCCUAUCACAGCAAUUCAACUCUGUAAUGGUUUUAAAUUCACAUUUGGCAUCAUGGUAAAAUCACUGAAUGGUUUCCUUCCUCUCUGGCAAUUGAGUUAGGAAAUUACGCCUGUAUUGUAGUGACUGGGUGUCUUAAACUUUGUUGGAACUUUGAAAGUGGCGAACAAACCCCUUUCCCGCCUGUGACAGGCUUUGUA